Molecule: ribosomal RNA, 253 nt
Filed under: uncultured bacterium
Lineage: Bacteria
Description: partial 16S ribosomal RNA
Rfam family: Bacterial small subunit ribosomal RNA
Source: RNAcentral
UACGUAGGGGGCAAGCGUUGUCCGGAAUCAUUGGGCGUAAAGAGCGCGCAGGCGGCUUGGCAAGUCGGGUGUGAAAUCCCGGGGCUCAACCCCGUGACUGCAUCCGAUACUGUCAGGCUAGAGGUAGGUAGGGGAGAUCGGAAUUCCUGGUGUAGCGGUGAAAUGCGCAGAUAUCAGGAGGAACACCGGUGGCGAAGGCGGAUCUCUGGGCCUUACCUGACGCUCAGGCGCGAAAGCUAGGGGAGCGAACAGG